RNAcentral lists this ribosomal RNA (297 nucleotides) under uncultured bacterium. Its description in RNAcentral is "partial 16S ribosomal RNA". It matches the Rfam family "Bacterial small subunit ribosomal RNA", at positions 337 to 651 of the family's 1533-position model. The record is from RNAcentral.
ACCUACGGGGGGCAGCAGUCGAGAAUCAUUCACAAUGGGGGGAACCCUGAUGCAGCGACGCCGCGUGGGCGAUGGAGUGCUUCGGCAUGUAAAGCCCUAUCAGCAGGGAAGAAAAUGACGGUACCUGACUAAGAAGCCCCGGCUAAAUACGUGCCAGCAGCCGCGGUAAUACGUAUGGGGCAAGCGUUAUCCGGAUUUACUGGGUGUAAAGGGAGCGUAGUCGGCCUGGCAAGCCUGAUGGGAAAUCCCGGGGCCCAACCCCGGGGCUGCAUUGGGAACUGCCAGGCUGGAGUGCCG